RNAcentral lists this unclassified non-coding RNA (205 nucleotides) under Hevea brasiliensis (rubber tree). The record is from RNAcentral. Lineage: Eukaryota; Viridiplantae; Streptophyta; Magnoliopsida; Malpighiales; Euphorbiaceae.
GGGUCAUCCACCACUAGAUUUGCAAUUACAAUCACCGCAGAAAUGCAAGAACUGGCCACCUCUCCAGCUUGUUUUCGUCUCUUAAUUUGUUUAUCUCACAUGUUAACAGCCCAACUACAUGAUUUGGCAUAUCCAAAUCCGUUAAAGGUAGAAGAAGAACCCUUGCAACUUCUUGAUUAUCAACGAUGGCCAACAAGAAUUCCAC